This 446-nucleotide ribosomal RNA is filed under the name uncultured bacterium. Its description in RNAcentral is "partial 16S ribosomal RNA". It matches the Rfam family "Bacterial small subunit ribosomal RNA", at positions 338 to 795 of the family's 1533-position model. The record is from RNAcentral.
CCUACGGGUGGCUGCAGUCGAGAAUCAUUCACAAUGGGGGAAACCCUGAUGGUGCGACGCCGCGUGGGGGAAUGAAGGUCUUCGGAUUGUAAACCCCUGUCAUGUGGGAGCAAAUUAAAAAGAUAGUACCACAAGAGGAAGAGACUGCUAACUCUGUGCCAGCAGCCGCGGUAAUACAGAGGUCGCAAGCGUUGUUCGGAAUCACUGGGCGUAAGGCGUGCGUAGGCUGUUUCGUAAGUCGUGUGUGAAAGGCGAGGGCUCAACCGGCGGACGGCACAUGAUACUGCGAGACUAGAGUAAUGGAGGGGGAACUGGAAUUCUCGGUGUAGCAGUGAAAUGCGGAGAGAUCGAGAGGAACACUCGUGGCGAAGGCGGGUUCCUGGACAUUAACUGACGCUGAGGCACGAAGGCCAGGGGAGCGAAAGGGAUUAGAUACCCUAGUAGUC